RNAcentral lists this long non-coding RNA (221 nucleotides) under Vitis vinifera (wine grape). RNAcentral's name for it is "long non-coding RNA (VVIN_LNC004561)". Lineage: Eukaryota; Viridiplantae; Streptophyta; Magnoliopsida; Vitales; Vitaceae. The record is from RNAcentral.
GGAGGAGUCCAAGGCUUUCUAGAGACUUCUAGGAAUCUCUUAUAUAUUCUUGUACAUAGGGUUGUACAUAGAAUAGGGUAGGAUGUUCUAGAAUAUUCUUGAUUUGUAAGGAACCCUCCAAGGUUCUAGAGAGUUCCCUUGGUGCCUAUAAAUAGGUGAGGGCCUCAUUUGGCCAAGGCACCACCCAAAUCACUUCCUAACCAAGCAAGUGAGCUUCCAAG